This 119-nucleotide ribosomal RNA is filed under the name Ricinus communis (castor bean). The record is from RNAcentral. Lineage: Eukaryota; Viridiplantae; Streptophyta; Magnoliopsida; Malpighiales; Euphorbiaceae.
GGGUGCGAUCAUACCAGCACUAAUGCACCGGAUCCCAUCAGAACUCCGAAGUUAAACGUGCUUGGGCGAGAGUAUUACUAAGAUCGGUGACCUCUUGGGAAGUCCUCGUGUUGCACCCC